ACAAUUUUAAAUUUAUUUUAAAGACUUAGGAUAACUAGACCAAGGGCCUUCAAAGCCUUAAGCAGAAGUUAUAAGAGGUACUGCCUGCCCAGUGACAUCUGUUCAACGGCCGCGGUAUUAUGACCGUGCAAAGGUAGCGUAAUCACUUGUCUUUUAAAUAAAGACCAGUAUGAAUGGCGAAACGAGAGCCAAACUGUCUCCCCUAACUAGUCAGUGAAAUUGAUUUUCCCGUGCAGAAGCGGGAAUACAAUUACAAGACGAGAAGACCCUAUGGAGCUUCAAGCAAUAACCAUGCAAACACUAUAAGCAACCCUUAGUAACGCUUUGGGUUGGGGCGACCACGGGGAAAAAUUUAACCCCCGAGAUGAAUAGCUGAGAAAAACACAUCAAAGCAACAAAAACCUUGACAUAUUGACCCAAUAUUUGACCAACGAACCAAGUUACCCUAGGGAUAACAGCGCAAUCUUCUCAUAGAGUCCUUAUCGACGAGAAGGUUUACGACCUCGAUGUUGGAUCAGGGCCCCCAAAUGGUGCAGCAGCUAUUAAAGGUUCGUUUGUUCAACGAUUAAAGCCCUACGUGAU
This 582-nucleotide ribosomal RNA is filed under the name Eurycea wilderae. RNAcentral's name for it is "partial 16S ribosomal RNA". It matches the Rfam family "Bacterial large subunit ribosomal RNA", at positions 1779 to 2604 of the family's 2925-position model. Lineage: Eukaryota; Metazoa; Chordata; Amphibia; Caudata; Plethodontidae. The record is from RNAcentral.